GUCGCGGCGCUGAUGGUGUAGGGGUUAAAGCGCGCGACCAUAUGGGGAGGCUGUGGUCCUCGGGGCGGCCGUCCCGGGUUUGAGUCCCGGACCUGGCGACA
Characodon lateralis is the source of this 101-nucleotide non-coding RNA. The record is from the annotation of a GenBank genome assembly. Lineage: Eukaryota; Metazoa; Chordata; Actinopteri; Cyprinodontiformes; Goodeidae.